Molecule: ribosomal RNA, 469 nt
Filed under: uncultured bacterium
Lineage: Bacteria
Description: partial 16S ribosomal RNA
Rfam family: Bacterial small subunit ribosomal RNA
Source: RNAcentral
GACGAACGCUGGCGGCGUGCUUAACACAUGCAAGUCGAACGGAAAGGCCCUGCUUGCAGGGUGCUCGAGUGGCGAACGGGUGAGUAACACGUGGGUGAUCUGCCCCUUACUUUGGGAUAAGCCUGGGAAACUGGGUCUAAUACUGGAUAGGACCAUGCUGUAGGUGGUGUGGUGGAAAGAUUAGUUUCGGUAAGGGAUGAGCUCGCGGCCUAUCAGCUUGUUGGUGGGGUAAUGGCCUACCAAGGCGUCGACGGGUAGUCGGCCUGAGAGGGUGGACGGCCACAUUGGGACUGAGAUACGGCCCAGACUCCUACGGGAGGCAGCAGUGGGGAAUAUUGCACAAUGGGCGCAAGCCUGAUGCAGCGACGCCGCGUGGGGGAUGACGGCCUUCGGGUUGUAAACUCCUUUCAGCCAUGACGAAGCCCUUGUGGUGACGGUAGUGGUAGAAGAAGCACCGGCUAACUACGUG